UCCAAGAGCAUUGACUCACAUUUCCCUGCUGCCAGCAGAGGUGACUUGGACCCUCUUCAUUUCCUCUCCGGGGACAGAAGCAGCAGAGUCCGGGAGCCUGAUGGUGAAGAUGAAGACCUUUUCCUCAGCGAAGGAAGAAGUUUUAAUCCAAAUAGACACCGGUUGAAGCACACGAGCACUAAGCCAACAGUCACGGCCGUUGACUCUAUUGACGAGGACAUUGAAGAGGUUACCCUCAGAUGACUGACUGGAGCACACAGAGUAUAUAUAUUUUUUCAAUUGUAAAUAUUAAAGUAUUUUAAUACAGUAUUUAUUAUAAACAUUUAAACUUUCAAUGGUAAAGUAGACUUAGUAGGGAGUAACUUUUAGUGGCUAACGAUGGCAUAAUCAAACAGGUAGUACUGUUCCUCAAAGCCGCAUUGUAAGAAUGCUUUUUUGUUUCGAAAUGAACCCUAAGGAGAGUUGUUGCUGACUGUUCCUCUGUUGUUACGGCUAGGUCUCACUGAGUUAGCACUGUGGGAAGUUUUACUUCAGUAAAUCUCAUUUCUUUUCCCUCUCAUUUUGAUCCAACCUCAGUGAGCCCAAGCACUGUUUUUCCCACUGAUGGCUAAGUGGAAAUGGAGGGUCUCCGGUAGGAUUAAAGACCUCAGUGGCAGACAGCAGUGGGAUGUAGGAGCUGUGCCCUUGUCUGAGGUGACAGAGCCAAGCCACUCUUGAGUGGUGGUGACAGUAAUGUUGGGACUUCAUUUUCUUGGAAAACCAUCCCUGGGGACUUGAGG
Molecule: long non-coding RNA, 779 nt
Filed under: Rattus norvegicus (Norway rat)
Lineage: Eukaryota; Metazoa; Chordata; Mammalia; Rodentia; Muridae
Description: long non-coding RNA NONRATT028821
Source: RNAcentral